CUCGUAGGCGGUUUGUCGCGUCGUCUGUGAAAUCCCGCAGCUCAACUGCGGGCGUGCAGGCGAUACGGGCAGACUUGAGUACUGCAGGGGAGACUGGAAUUCCUGGUGUAGCGGUGAAAUGCGCAGAUAUCAGGAGGAACACCGGUGGCGAAGGCGGGUCUCUGGGCAGUAACUGACGCUGAGGAGCGAAAGCGUGGUAGCGAACA
This 206-nucleotide ribosomal RNA is filed under the name uncultured bacterium. RNAcentral's name for it is "partial 16S ribosomal RNA". It matches the Rfam family "Bacterial small subunit ribosomal RNA", at positions 568 to 774 of the family's 1533-position model. The record is from RNAcentral.